GAGUGAUCUGUGUUCUCAAAAAUACUCUAUGGUAGGUCCAGUUCUAGAUAAGGUUAGUACAGACUAACUUCACUGGAAGACUGAGCAGUACACUGAGGUGAAUGGCCACUAGCAAGCUCUACACUCGCGCUAUAGUGCGUUCCAUCGGUUUCUCCCUCUCGCCUGCCGUCUCUCUAUCUAGGUCUCGCUCGCUGGCUAGCUCGCUCUAGGUCUCGCUCGCUGGCUAGCUCGCUCUAGGUCUCGCUCGCUGGCUAGCUCGCUCUAGGUCUCGCUCGCUGGCUAGCUCGCUCUAGGUCUCGCUCGCUCUAGGUCCCGCUCGCUGGCUAGCUCGCUGGCUAGCUCGCUCUAGGUCUCGCUCGCUAGCUAGCUCGCUCUAGGUCUCGCUCGCUGGCUAGCGAGCUCUAGGUCUCGCUGGCUCGCUCUAGGUCUCGCUGGCUAGCGAGCUCUAGGUCUCGCUGGCUCGCUCUAGGUCUCGCUGGCUAGCGAGCUCUAGGUCUCGCUGGCUAGCGAGCUCUAGGUCUCGCUGGCUCGCUCUAGGUCUCGCUGGCUAGCGAGCUCUAGGUCUCGCUGGCUAGCGAGCUCUAGGUCUCGCUGGCUAGCGAGCUCUAGGUCUCGCUGGCUCGCUCUACCGCUCUAGGUCUCGCUGGCUCGCUCUAGGUCUCGCUCUAGGUCUCGCUGGCUCGCUCUAGGUCUCGCUCUAGGUCUCGCUGGCUCGCUCUAGGUCUCGCUCUAGGUCUCGCUCUAGGUCUCGCUGGCUCGCUCUAGGUCUCGCUCUAGGUCUCGCUCGCUCUAGGUCUCGCUCGCUCUAGGUCUCGCUCGCUCUAGGUCUCGCUCGCUCUAGGUCUCGGUCUGUCUCUCUCACACUGCCUCUCUCUCUUUCUUGCCGUCCCUCACUCUGGGUCCCUCUCUAACCCCUCUCUCUGGGUCUCUCUCUCUCGCUCUGGGUCUCUCUCUCUCUCGCUCUGGGUCUCUCUCUCUCUCGCUCUGGGUCUCUCUCUCUCUCUCGCUCUGGGUCUCUCUCUCUCUCUCUGGGUCUCUCUCUCUCGCUCUGGGUCUCGCUCUGGGUCUCGCUCUGGGUCUCGCUCUGGGUCUCGCUCUGGGUCUCGCUCUGGGUCUCGCUCUGAGUCUCUCUCUCUCUCGCUCUGAGUCUCUCUCUCUCGCUCUGAGUCUCUCUCUCUCUCUCGCUCUGAGUCUCUCGCUCUGGGUCUCUCUCUCUGGGUCUCUCUCUCUG
This is a long non-coding RNA of Oncorhynchus keta (chum salmon), 1231 nucleotides long. RefSeq lists it as uncharacterized. Lineage: Eukaryota; Metazoa; Chordata; Actinopteri; Salmoniformes; Salmonidae. The transcript is spliced from 4 exons. The record is from RefSeq and is a predicted model, not a curated record.